GACGAACGCUGGCGGCGUGCCUAACACAUGCAAGUCGAGCGAGUGGAGUUCUUCGGAACAAAGCUAGCGGCGGACGGGUGAGUAACACGUGGGCAACCUGCCUCAUAGAGGGGAAUAGCCUCCCGAAAGGGAGAUUAAUACCGCAUAAGAUUGUAGCUUCGCAUGAAGUAGCAAUUAAAGGAGCAAUCCGCUAUGAGAUGGGCCCGCGGCGCAUUAGCUAGUUGGUGAGGUAACGGCUCACCAAGGCGACGAUGCGUAGCCGACCUGAGAGGGUGAUCGGCCACAUUGGGACUGAGACACGGCCCAGACUCCUACGGGAGGCAG
RNAcentral lists this ribosomal RNA (324 nucleotides) under uncultured Bacillota bacterium. RNAcentral describes it as "bacterial SSU rRNA". It matches the Rfam family "Bacterial small subunit ribosomal RNA", at positions 28 to 351 of the family's 1533-position model. Lineage: Bacteria; Bacillati; Bacillota. The record is from RNAcentral.